AGUGUAGGCGGCUUCGUAAGUCGGAUGUGAAAGCCCCGGGCUUAACCUGGGAAUGGCAUUCGAUACUGCGCGGCUAGAGUCUGAUAGAGGGAAGUGGAAUUCCAGGUGUAGCGGUGAAAUGCGUAGAGAUCUGGAGGAACACCAGUGGCGAAGGCGGCUUCCUGGAUCAAGACUGACGCUGAGGCUCGAAAGCGGUGGGGAGGCAAACA
RNAcentral lists this ribosomal RNA (209 nucleotides) under uncultured bacterium. RNAcentral describes it as "partial 16S ribosomal RNA". It matches the Rfam family "Bacterial small subunit ribosomal RNA", at positions 568 to 774 of the family's 1533-position model. The record is from RNAcentral.